RNAcentral lists this non-coding RNA (528 nucleotides) under Corchorus olitorius. RNAcentral describes it as "Bacterial large subunit ribosomal RNA". It matches the Rfam family "Bacterial large subunit ribosomal RNA", at positions 1 to 583 of the family's 2925-position model. The record is from Rfam by way of RNAcentral. Lineage: Eukaryota; Viridiplantae; Streptophyta; Magnoliopsida; Malvales; Malvaceae.
GAUCAAGCGUCUGAAGGGCAUCUGGUGGAUGCCUUGGCACUGAGAGGCGAUGAAGGACGUAGCACGUUGCGAUAAGUCACGGGGAGCCGCGAGCAGGCAUUGAUCCGUGAAUUUCCGAAUGGGGAAACCCACCGCGCAAGCGGUAUCCCAUGCUGAAUCCAUAGGCAUGGGAAGCGAACCCGGCGAACUGAAACAUCUAAGUAGCCGGAGGAAAGGACAUCAACCGAGACUCCGCUAGUAGUGGCGAGCGAACGCGGACCAGGCCAGUCAUUCGAUCUACAUAACCGGAACCGUCUGGAAAGUCGGACCACAGUGGGUGAUAGUCCCGUAUGGAUAAACCGGAUCGAAUGCUCGAGUAGGGCGGGGCACGUGAAACCCUGUCUGAACAUGGGGGGACCACCCUCCAAGCCUAAGUACUCCUCAGUGACCGAUAGUGCACCAGUACCGUGAGGGAAAGGUGAAAACGCACCCCGACAAGGGGAGUGAAACAGUUCCUGAAACCGGAUGCCUACAAGCAGUCGGAGCCUC